This 1764-nucleotide long non-coding RNA is filed under the name Triticum aestivum (bread wheat). RNAcentral's name for it is "long non-coding RNA (TAES_LNC003963)". The record is from RNAcentral. Lineage: Eukaryota; Viridiplantae; Streptophyta; Magnoliopsida; Poales; Poaceae.
UUAGCGGCUGAGGCUAGUGAUUAUAUGUGAGAUCAUAUUAUUUGGGUCCUAGUUUGGAGGACCAACUUUUAAACAAUGCAGAAACUUGUGCUAAACAUGGAGACUAUGCCCACGAAGAAAUUACUAGAAGCGCCUAAUAUGAUAGUACAUGAGGCAGGAACCAAAUUCAUACCGACAGAGUAAAAAGGGGGGGUGUGAUGAUUACUUAACAUAUGUGGUCGGUCGCGGUUUGCAAGGUCCUCCAAAGGCCAUGAUCAAUCUCUCCCCUCUUGCGUGCUGUCUUGCCAACCAACAAACCAAACAUAUAAAUAUUGAUGAAUGAGAAGAUGAUAAUUUCCAACCGGUAGCAUGCCUUUAGUUUUAUGAGAUGAGAUGUAACAACCUACCAUAUUCAUAUAGAAACAUGAGCAAGGCAACUAGAAAUAGAUUAGGCAUGAGCUGCAAUAAUAAAACACCACUUGCUGAAUUCGGCAUGAAAGUCGGACAGACAGUACAAGAGCUUGCACAUCCACACAUCUUCAUGGAGCACAAAUUUCUUCACAUCACAUACGGGCACUACAUUCAACAUCAACUCGUAUUAUUAACUGGGUUGCUGAUAAACAUCAUCAGUCAAAGUAGGUCCUUGCCGUGCCAUCCUUGACUCCAAAGACCUCCAUGACUCCAAAGACGCCAAGCAAUAUUCAGGGAAACAAAUUAUUAGAAGCAAUCUGCAGAAAUGUUCAACUAAAAUGGAGUAAAGCUUAACCAAACAGGUUCAGAGUGGGUGGGUGGGAUACUUACAAUGAGAUGAGAUGAGAUGAGAUGAGAUGAGAUGAGAUGAGAUGAGAUGAGAUGAGAUGAGACCGCCGAGAUUGUUGUAAAAGUAAACAGAGAUUGCAGCAAAUCUGAUAGGGAUAUUGACCCGAAAACAGCAGAGCAAAUUAUAACUCAUUUUCUGUGGGAGCAAAUUAUACCACAUGAAUGAAUCAAAUCAAAUCAAAUCAAAAGAAGAAAACAGGUCUAAGCACCCUGAUCUGCAACAAACAAGCCAAGGGAUCUGCUCUGCUUGGGCAAUGAAGAUGUUCCAAACUAAUCAACGAGAAAGUUGGAAAAGAAGGGGGAAAAAAGUGCAUAAUCAACGAGAAACAUGCCUAAUAAGACGGUAAUAUUAUAUUACUAGUAGUACAUCUAAGGCACAGCGAAUUGCAAGCCAUAUGACAAGAAGAAUCGUCGCCAUACAUAUGACAAGAGUAAAAACGGAAUUCAGAACUGAGAGGGCCAAGAUUUAAUAAACGAGCAUGCAAGAUGGCGCCUGCACAAGCUAGAUCCGUUGUUUCUGCCUGCGCAUGGAUAAAUCAAAUCAAAAGAAGAAAACAGAUGUGCAUCUUGCAUGCGAUUUGCGGCCAAGGAUUUGUAGAUCUGAGAAACAGAAACCGCCGCAAAAACCAAAAAAAGAAGAAGCUCGCUCUCAUCCUCGCCGGCCGGCCGGCUACCCCUGCAACGGCCCAGCUUCCGGCGACCGGCCUCAUCAUCACGGAUGCGGCGCCGACCCCGUGAAUCCGUGAAUCCCUGGACAGGCGCGCCGAUGGAUGCAGUCCGGUAGUAUCACUGGGCAGAGGGAUGAAGGAAGGCUUCCCUCGGAGCCAUGGCGGCUAGGCUAGGCUAGGGUUUGCUUCUGGGAUGAGGAAGGGGCUCUCUGCUUCUGCUUCUGCUUCUGCGCAAGGGGAGGGGAGGAGACGAGAAGAGAGGAGAGGCUCGGAGCCGAGUACGUAAGCACCUUUCACG